This 485-nucleotide ribosomal RNA is filed under the name uncultured bacterium. RNAcentral's name for it is "bacterial SSU rRNA". It matches the Rfam family "Bacterial small subunit ribosomal RNA", at positions 28 to 524 of the family's 1533-position model. The record is from RNAcentral.
GACGAACGCUGGCGGCGUGCCUAACACAUGCAAGUCGAACGGAGAUAUGAUUUCGGUUAUAUCUUAGUGGCGAACGGGUGAGUAACGCGUGAGCAACCUGACCUUCAGAGGGGGAUAACACUUGGAAACAGGUGCUAAUACCGCAUAAGACCACGACCCGACAUCGGGAUGCGGUCAAAGGAGCAAUCCGCUGAGGGAGGGGCUCGCGUCCCAUUAGAUAGAUGGCGGGGUAACGGCCCACCAUGUCGACGAUGGGUAGCCGAGCUGAGAGGCUGAUCGGCCACACUGGAACUGAGACACGGUCCAGACUCCUACGGGAGGCAGCAGUGGGGAAUAUUGGGCAAUGGGCGCAAGCCUGACCCAGCAACGCCGCGUGAGGGAAGAAGGCCUUCGGGUUGUAAACCUCUGUCCUUGGUUGACGGAAACAAAUGACGGUAGCCAAGGAGGAAGCCCCGGCUAACUAACGUGCCAGCAGCCGCGGUAAU